AGCAGCCGCGGUAAUUCCAGCUCCAAUAGCGUAUAUUAAAGUUGUUGCAGUUAAAAAGCUCGUAGUUGAAUUUCGGGAUCAAGGAAUCGGUCAUGCCUUGGUAUGUACUGGUUUUAUUGGUUCUCACCUUCUAAAGAACCAUAAUGUCAUUCAUUUGAUGUUAUGGGGAAUUAGGACUGUUACCUUGAAAAAAUUAGAGUGUUUAAAGCAGGCUUACGCUUGAAUACAUUAGCAUGGAAUAAUGAAAUAGGACAUCAGAUUCUAUUUUGUUGGUUUCUAGGAUCGAUGUAAUGAUUAAUAGGGAUAGUUGGGGGCAUUAGUAUUCAAUUGUCAGAGGUGAAAUUCUUGGAUUUAUUGAAGACUAACUACCGCGAAAGCAUUUGCCAAGGAUGUUUUCAUUAAUCAAGAACGAAAGUUAGGGGAUCGAAGACGAUCAGAUACCGUCGUAGCCUUAACCAUAAACUAUGCCGACUAGGGAUCGGACGAAGUUAAUUUUAUAAUGACGCGUUCGGCACCUUAC
This 520-nucleotide ribosomal RNA is filed under the name uncultured Glomus. Its description in RNAcentral is "SSU rRNA". It matches the Rfam family "Eukaryotic small subunit ribosomal RNA", at positions 569 to 1091 of the family's 1831-position model. The record is from RNAcentral. Lineage: Eukaryota; Fungi; Glomeromycota; Glomeromycetes; Glomerales; Glomeraceae.